Molecule: long non-coding RNA, 392 nt
Filed under: Triticum aestivum (bread wheat)
Lineage: Eukaryota; Viridiplantae; Streptophyta; Magnoliopsida; Poales; Poaceae
Description: long non-coding RNA (TAES_LNC027099)
Source: RNAcentral
CCAUCCAAACUAAAUGGACCAGGGAAACUGCAAAAGGAUUCAAAGCGGCGUCCAACCGAAGUGCACCAGGUUCUUCCUGCAAAAAUCAGUAAAGUAAACCUCAAGAGUUGCACUUAGAUUUAUCUACAGAAAAACACAAAAACAGUGCGCAUGGGGGGUGAGCCACCAGCCUGUGCAAGUCAACUGCACCUGCCCGGGGCCCGAACUGCAUGGCCACAGCAAACGCACCGCUGCAAGCCAACUGCACUAUUGCGACAGACCAUCGGGGGACCCUUCCAAAGCGAACUGCAACCCCACUGCUCCGUCGUCAUCCUUGAGCAAGCAGUUUGCCCUAGCUGAGCGACAUGGGCAAGAGGGGCUCUGGGCGGCUCACCAGAAGUAUCUCCCCGGUG